GGCCCUACGGGGCGCAGCAGGCGCGAAAACUUUACAAUGCGAGAAAUCGUGAUAAGGGAACCCCGAGUGCCCGUAAAUUCGGGCUGUCCGCCAGUGCAAAAAACUGGCGAAGAAAGAGCCGGGCAAGACCGGUGCCAGCCGCCGCGGUAACACCGGCGGCUCGAGUGGUGGUCACUAUUACUGGGCUUAAAGCGUCCGUAGCUUGGUUGUUAAGUCUCUUGGGAAAUCCACCGGCUCAACCGAUGGGCGUCAGGAGAUAUUGGCAACCUAGGGACCGGGAGAGGUGAGGGGUACUCCAGGGGUAGGAGUGAAAUCCUGUAAUCCUUGGGGGACCACCUGUGGCGAAGGCGUCUCACUAGAACGGCUCCGACAGUGAGGGACGAAAGCUGGGGGAGCAAACCGGAUUAGAUACCCGGGUAGUCCCAGCUGUAAACGAUGCGCGUUAGGUGUAUCGGUGACCACGAGUCACCGAGGUGCCGAAGGGAAACCGUGAAACGUGCCGCCUGGGACGUACGGUCGCAAGGCUGAAACUUAAAGGAAUUGGCGGGGGAGCACCACAACAGGUGGAGCCUGCGGUUUAAUCGGACUCA
This 590-nucleotide ribosomal RNA is filed under the name uncultured archaeon. Its description in RNAcentral is "bacterial SSU rRNA". It matches the Rfam family "Archaeal small subunit ribosomal RNA", at positions 319 to 914 of the family's 1478-position model. The record is from RNAcentral.